RNAcentral lists this ribosomal RNA (243 nucleotides) under Vibrio sp. 10N.286.48.B8. RNAcentral describes it as "partial 23S ribosomal RNA". It matches the Rfam family "Bacterial large subunit ribosomal RNA", at positions 1 to 239 of the family's 2925-position model. The record is from RNAcentral. Lineage: Bacteria; Pseudomonadati; Pseudomonadota; Gammaproteobacteria; Vibrionales; Vibrionaceae.
GUUGUAUGGUUAAGUGACUAAGCGUACACGGUGGAUGCCUUGGCAGUCAGAGGCGAUGAAAGACGUAAUAACUUGCGAUAAGCCCAGAUUAGGUAGUAAUAACCUUUUGAGUCUGGGAUUUCUGAAUGGGGAAACCCACGUGCAUAAGCACGUAUCCUGUUGUGAAUACAUAGCAACAGGAGGCAAACCGGGGGAACUGAAACAUCUAAGUACCCCGAGGAAGAGAAAUCAACCGAGAUUCCG